Molecule: long non-coding RNA, 402 nt
Organism: Apis dorsata (giant honeybee)
Lineage: Eukaryota; Metazoa; Arthropoda; Insecta; Hymenoptera; Apidae
Exons: 2
Source: RefSeq, a predicted model, not a curated record
AUUAAUUUAUAAAAGAAAUUCUCCUAAUAAAAUGAAAAUUUCUCCAAAAUAUUCUAAAUUAUUUUCUAAUGAUUUAAGAAGACAUUAUUUUAAAGAUAAAAAUGCUACAUCUACUCCGAAUAGAAAAAACAUAGUACCAAAAAAUUUUAACAUUUAAACUGUGUUGAUGAAUACACUCAAGUGAUGAAUAUAGAUGUUGCAAUGAAAGAAGAUUUUCAUAAUUUUUUUUGCAAAAUUACAGAUGUACUAGACUUUUUGUCUUAAUUUAAUUUAAUAAAUCAAGGUUAGAAGAAUACAAUGCAAUAUAAUUUAAGAAAAAGUAGACAUGAAAAUAGUUGGAAAGAAUGUAUUUAAUAUAUAAAAUAUGUACAUGUUAAAUUAAAUUCUAUUUUUACAAUAGUU